Cercocebus atys (sooty mangabey) is the source of this 1471-nucleotide long non-coding RNA. RefSeq lists it as uncharacterized. The record is from RefSeq and is a predicted model, not a curated record. NCBI's taxonomy places the organism in Eukaryota, Metazoa, Chordata, Mammalia, Primates, Cercopithecidae. The transcript is spliced from 3 exons.
UAUAUUAGAUGUUAUAUAUCUUUGAAAAACAUGUAGGAGUUUGAAUAUUCAUUAGUUUUUUUUAAUAAAGUGGAAUAUGGCAAAUCUCAUAUAGUAUUAAUUUUAAUGUCAAAGAGGCAGUGGCAAAUCAAAAGAGCAUCACAGAUUAAGGGUAUCAAGAGGGCAAUACAGUGUAUAGAAAAGAAGUAUAGUCACAAAGAACGUUUCUGAUUUGUGUUUUUCAGGUACAUCUAGUUCUUCUAUUUGUCUACCUAUAGGUGCACUCAAAACAUUUUAAUUUAUUUCAUGCGUUGUCAUCGUUAUCCUCUGUAUUGCUCUGAGAAAGAAGAUGUUACUUGUUUGUGAAAAAAAGGAUGAGUGCAACAGGGCUAGUUUCAAUCAUUUAAAAAAAGAAAUUCCAAGGGCUCUGGCAAGACCCGUCAUGAAAAGAGUUGUUAUGAAAAAAUUUUUUUCCACAUGCUUGGUAAUUCCCUCACUGAAGGAUAUAUCUUUGCUAAAGUGAUAGUUUACUCUGGAAUAUUACAAAGGUAGGCUGUUAGUUAUCAUUAGUACUUACGGUAAAUUGAGUUUAAGAGUCUUUACUGAGGACAGAUUUUUGCACAAGAGAAUAUGGAUCACAGACAACUGGUGGAGAGGAAGCUCAUUGAGAGGUAAAAAAAGGUAGAGAUUGGAAGGAGAUUUUUCAAAGAGACUAUUGCAGUAGUCAAGAUGAGAGUUGAUGGUGGUCUGGACUAGAGUAGCAGCAAAGGGGACUGAGGGAUUAAGUUUGGGAUGGCAAGAUUUGCUGAAGGAACAGCUGUGGUAAAAGAGCAAAAUGUAAGAAUUGUCCUGAUGAUUGUUUGUUUUCUGGUGUUAGAUGAAGAAAACUUUUACAAAUAUGGGAAAGAUUAGAGGAAGAACAAACUUUGGAAAGAGAAUCCAGAGUUCAAUUUUGAACAUGUUAAUUUUGAAAUGCCUAUUUUACAUCCAAGGGAAUAGGUUAGUUAUCUCUAUAUAUGAAUCUGAAAUAGAUGGAACACAUAAGGACCAGUGGUUUAAGUUUUAGAGUAUAAUGAACAGACUCUCCAAGGGGACAAAUCAUAGGUUAUGACUCUCACUAUUAUAGAGUGGAAAUAAUAUGCAAGUUCUGUAAUUCGAGUAUUUUCAUGCCCAACGAAGCAUUUGAAAAUAUACUUUGGUCAAUCUCAAGAGAAUUUGAAUCUGAAUCUCCAAAUGUUUUACUCAUAGCAUACUCUUACAAUGGACUGCCAUGAGGGGGAGUGUUUGGGCUGUAUUCCUCUUAUGGGUAUAUUAAUGUCGCUAUAUCUCUAGGUCACAGAAUGUGUGAACCAAUACCUCAUUUGAGACAGCCUCACAUGGAGAACGUAAGAGCCAUUCUCUUCUCACAUACAGUUAAAUAUGAUAUUUGCUGCAGUAUGACCGCUAAGCAUAUUAUCAAGGGUUUCACUGCAUCACCCAGGCUAGAGUGCAG